UGGUGAGUUAGGCCGGGAGGUCAGCGGUCUCCUGUAACCCCAAAUCCGCUUACGGGGGGGUCGAAGUCUUGGGGGCGUGGUGCUUGCCGUCCUCCAGUCCAGGACCAAGCGCUGACGUCUUGUCCCGCAGGACUCGGCCCGUUUGGAACCUGGUCAGGCCGGGAACGGAGCAGCCAUAACAAGCGGGUUGGGUGCUUGUGGGGUUGCAGGACUGAGUGAGGUUCUGGGUAGCUGGGGGAUUUGCAGGCACUGCCACCCCAAGACGUACUCACCA
This 274-nucleotide signal recognition particle RNA is filed under the name Microcaldota archaeon. RNAcentral's name for it is "Candidatus Micrarchaeota archaeon signal recognition particle sRNA". It matches the Rfam family "Archaeal signal recognition particle RNA". The record is from RNAcentral. Lineage: Archaea; Nanobdellati; Microcaldota.